UGGGGAAUAUUGCACAAUGGGCGCAAGCCUGAUGCAGCCAUGCCGCGUGUAUGAAGAAGGCCUUCGGGUUGUAAAGUACUUUCAGUCGGGAGGAAGGUGGUAAGGUUAAUAACCUUAUCAAUUGACGUCACCGACAGAAGAAGCACCGGCUAACUCCGUGCCAGCAGCCGCGGUAAUACGGAGGGUGCAAGCGUUAAUCGGAAUUACUGGGCGUAAAGCGCACGCAGGCGGUUGAUUGAGUCAGAUGUGAAAUCCCCGGGCUUAACCCGGGGAUUGGAUCUGAUACUGGGCAGCUAGAGUCUUGUAGAGGGGGGUAGAAUUCCAUGUGUAACGGUGAAAUGCGUAAAGAUGUGGAGGAAUACCGGUGGCGAAGGCGGCCCCCUGGACAAAGACUGACGCUCAGGUGCGAAAGCGUGGGGAGCAAACAGG
Molecule: ribosomal RNA, 429 nt
Filed under: Chloroflexota bacterium
Lineage: Bacteria; Bacillati; Chloroflexota
Description: Chloroflexi bacterium partial 16S ribosomal RNA
Rfam family: Bacterial small subunit ribosomal RNA
Source: RNAcentral